CAGCUUGUUUUGUAGAGGGUAUAAAAAUCCCUGUUUUGGGGGGCUCAGGGCUCUCUCAUGCAUCACCCCUUGUGUGAUGGGAAUGGUUAGCCUUUAUUGCAAUAAAUUAUAAUGUCUUGGACUCGAUAUACCCGUGUCAAGUGGUUAUUGUCUUCGCCUGGAAGGACCAUAAGUCAUUCUUAUGAGAGUUUAUGGCAUCCCUGGGUGGGCUCCCAGGUCGUGCUGGGGAUCCUUUUUCUCUGUCUCUUGUCCUGUGAUCACGAGCUCACCACCCAGUUUUGGCGGGAUGCUGGACCGAGAGGAGACUGGUGGCUCCCCGGGCGAUAAAGGAGCCUGCAGAAGAAAUGGGUAGGUCGACUUCAACGCAAAAUGCCAGUGCUGGAAUAGGACACAGAUAUGCUACUGGCAUGCCAUUUUCCUGCAUUGCUGCAAUAACAGUGAAGAUGCCUGCUUCAUUCUUCCCCAACUACAGAAAGUGACAAGUCUACUUUGGCCAUCAUCCUGUAGUGGACACCAAUAUUUUUUCUGGCAAGAUGUUCUAUAUUGUGCAAGCUUGCAACCUUUGUCAUAGUCACUUGGGGGGAGGGAGUUGAUUAUUAUUUUCAUUAUUCAAGUUUCUGGUGAGCAUCAGCAAAUCAUAGACAGUUCAACUAAGUCUCCUGAGGAUGAAGUAUGUACAAGCCACCCUGCAGUAUGUUUGAAGAUCACAAAUAUUGUUUUCUUUUUCAUUGUAAUAUUGACUGUAAUUGAAUACUCAUGCAUUGUAUUUUAAGGAUGUGAUUAUUUAACUAUUGCUAUUUUUCCUUAUAUAAUUUGUGUUAAGAAUGUCUUGUUUAUAGGAUGUUUUUAUUUUUCAAAUCCCUCUGAGUGAUUUCAUAACAAGGGGUUUACAAAAUUUGGCGAUUUGUUUUAAGAUAUGAGAUUUGCCAGUGUAGAAUCUUGGACCUUUAUAGCCUAACAGCCUUUGAUCUUUAUUUUUUAUUUUGAACAACUGCAUAGUUAUUUUCUCGCCUAUUUUAUUUACUUUCUCACCCUGUUAUAGAAAGAGUUAAAAGUAGUGAAAUAUCUAGGAAAGCAAACUACACUUCAGAUACAAAGAUGGUAGCAGAGGGUGGUUAGAUUCCCUGUCUGGCUGGGGAAAGAAUGCCAAAGGAGAUUUAACCUUUAUAAUGCACCCCAUUGUGGUGAUUUUGAUGUUUCAAAUAAUUCUGGUCUUUGUCUUUUUUUUUUUUUUUUUUU
This is a long non-coding RNA of Rhineura floridana, 1239 nucleotides long. RefSeq lists it as uncharacterized. The transcript is spliced from 2 exons. NCBI's taxonomy places the organism in Eukaryota, Metazoa, Chordata, Lepidosauria, Squamata, Rhineuridae. The record is from RefSeq and is a predicted model, not a curated record.